RNAcentral lists this long non-coding RNA (313 nucleotides) under Gossypium barbadense (sea-island cotton). RNAcentral describes it as "long non-coding RNA (GBAR_LNC021781)". Lineage: Eukaryota; Viridiplantae; Streptophyta; Magnoliopsida; Malvales; Malvaceae. The record is from RNAcentral.
AUAUAUUAAAUUAAAAUUUUAUAUUUUAGGGGUUGGGCUAAUUAACCCUAAAUGCCAAUUGCCAAGCCAUGUAUUAGAGUCGAAUAUGAUUAAACCGUUAAACAAGAAACAAAAUUCUUACACAAUUAUUAUUUUUUAUUCAUAAAAUUCGAAUUUAAAACGAGAAAUAAAUUAACUAUUAAAGGCCCAAACAUAACACGUGAAAACAAAAAGGCUCCCGGGUUGGUUGUGUGUCUGCCUUGGUUUUCAAUGGCAGUAGCGGUGGGUUGAGGGUUUCUGGGUGUUGCGUAGCGGUGCUUUUUGGUUGUUUCUG